UACUUAAUGUAAAUGGGUCCAGGUGCUA
This 28-nucleotide non-coding RNA is filed under the name Homo sapiens (human). The record is from RNAcentral. Lineage: Eukaryota; Metazoa; Chordata; Mammalia; Primates; Hominidae.